Molecule: ribosomal RNA, 447 nt
Filed under: uncultured bacterium
Lineage: Bacteria
Description: SSU rRNA
Rfam family: Bacterial small subunit ribosomal RNA
Source: RNAcentral
AGAGCGAACGCUGGCGGCAGGCUUAACACAUGCAAGUCGAGCGGGCGUAGCAAUACGUCAGCGGCAGACGGGUGAGUAACGCGUGGGAACGUACCUUUUGGUUCGGAACAACCCAGGGAAACUUGGGCUAAUACCGAAUAAGCCCUUACGGGGAAAGAUUUAUCGCCGAAAGAUCGGCCCGCGUCUGAUUAGCUAGUUGGUGGGGUAAUGGCCCACCAAGGCGACGAUCAGUAGCUGGUCUGAGAGGAUGAUCAGCCACAUUGGGACUGAGACACAGCCCAAACUCCUACGGGAGGCAGCAGUGGGGAAUAUUGGACAAUGGGCGCAAGCCUGAUCCAGCCAUGCCGCGUGAGUGAUGAAGGCCCUAGGGUUGUAAAGCUCUUUGUGCGGGAAGAUAAUGACGGUACCGCAAGAAUAAGCCCCGGCUAACUUCGUGCCAGCAGCCGC